Triticum urartu is the source of this 888-nucleotide non-coding RNA. The record is from RefSeq and is a predicted model, not a curated record. NCBI's taxonomy places the organism in Eukaryota, Viridiplantae, Streptophyta, Magnoliopsida, Poales, Poaceae.
GCCAUAGGUAAUUGUUCCAAUGCAUCCUGCUCCUGCUGCUGCAAUCACAAAUGAGCCAGUACAGAGGCGGCAUGCACUGUUGAGGCUAUGCCCAUCCAGUCUGACUUGUCGACUCUUUUCGAGUCAAUGCAGAGUUAUAUGGAGCAAGAAUAGGAUGAAAUAAACCAGCAUUACAGGGUAUCUUUGAGAACUGCUGCUAUUCUUCUGAAAAUGUGGGAUUUCCUGUUGUAUUGUAUUGCCUCCUUACAUCAACUCCUUGCAUAUGCUAUACAAAAUGAGGAGUCCCGUAAUCAAUCCAUCCGCCACAAAUCUGAAAAGACGUGCGAUAUGCUCCACGCAGAGUUCAUAAAGCUUGACAAAGGACCCAAGCCCUGCUGCGUCCUGUAGAAUUCCUGCAUGUGUGCAUCGAUGCUUAGCUGGGUUUUAAGUGGUUCUAGUUUAUUACUGUACUAAAAAGUUGAAUUUAUAUAUGAAGCACAUACUUUCAGCUGAUUCUGGGUUUUUGUCGAACGAAUAGGCAACGGAAUGAAGUAUGUCCUGCAGGGAUUGGAAUUAGCUAGAGGUAGUCAGACUAAGAAAUAUAGUUGGAUGCAGCAGCAGAAUAAAUUAUGCCUACCAAUGCCCGGUUUCCUUGUUUCACAGGAUCUUACCAAGGUGCCACAAUACCACGGCAGCAGUGGGUUCUACUCCUUGACAAACCUCAUCGAUAGCAAAUUUGGCGUUCUCCCCCAUGGAUCCCAUGAGCCUUGCGAAAGAUAUUGGAGCAGAUGAGAUGAGAGAAUAACCUUGAAGUUGAGUGGUUUGUAAUAUGAAGCGUGCUCGACAGUGCAAUCAGGGUCAACCAGCUCCAUGAGCCGUGCGAUGUCCUUGUCAUUGAGGGAGGAGUAG